AACCUAGCACACCUGCGGUGUGUACCUGCGGAGGGAUCAUUACAUGAUUUAACAGGGAGUGGAGGCUUCGGCCAAAGCUCUGUCUGAACCCAUGUCUUUUGCGUACUUCUUGUUUCCUCGGUGGGCUUGCCCGCCGAUAGGACAACCUUAAACUCUUUGCAAUUGCAAUCAGCGUCUGAAAAACUAUAAUAGUUACAACUUUCAACAAUGGAUCU
This 215-nucleotide unclassified non-coding RNA is filed under the name soil metagenome. Its description in RNAcentral is "partial contains 5.8S ribosomal RNA, internal transcribed spacer 2, and large subunit ribosomal RNA". The record is from RNAcentral.